RNAcentral lists this ribosomal RNA (1015 nucleotides) under Limtongia smithiae. RNAcentral describes it as "SSU rRNA". It matches the Rfam family "Eukaryotic small subunit ribosomal RNA", at positions 81 to 1104 of the family's 1831-position model. The record is from RNAcentral. Lineage: Eukaryota; Fungi; Ascomycota; Lipomycetes; Lipomycetales; Lipomycetaceae.
GUGAAACUGCGAAUGGCUCAUUAAAUCAGUUAUCGUUUAUUUGAUAGUAACUUUAUUACUUGGAUAACCGUGGUAAUUCUAGAGCUAAUACAUGCUAAAAGUCCUGUCAAAGGGAUGUAUUUAUUAGAUAAAAGACCAAUGCUUCUUCGGAAGCUCUUUGGUGAUUCAUGAUAACUUUUCGAAUCGCAUGGCCUAGAGCUAGCGAUGGUUCAUUCAAAUUUCUGCCCUAUCAACUUUCGAUGGUAGGAUAGUGGCCUACCAUGGUUUCAACGGGUAACGGGGAAUUAGGGUUCGAUUCCGGAGAGGGAGCCUGAGAAACGGCUACCACAUCCAAGGAAGGCAGCAGGCACGCAAAUUACCCAAUCCCGACACGGGGAGGUAGUGACAAUAAAUAACAAUGCAGGGCUUUUAUAGUCUUGUGAUUGGAAUGAGUACAAUUUAAAUACCUUAACGAGGAACAAUUGGAGGGCAAGUCUGGUGCCAGCAGCCGCGGUAAUUCCAGCUCCAAUAGCGUAUAUUAAAGUUGUUGCAGUUAAAAAGCUCGUAGUUGAACCUUGGGCUUGGUCGGCCGGUCCGCCUCACUGGUGUGCACUGACCCGAUCGAGCCUUUUUUUCUGGGUAACUAUAGUGUUUUUUACUAAAUGCUAUAGGGAACCAGAACUUUUACUUUGAAAAAAUUAGAGUGUUCAAAGCAGGCAUACGCUCGAAUAUAUUAGCAUGGAAUAAUAGAAUAGGACGUACGGUUCUAUUUUGUUGGUUCUCUAGGACCGUCGUAAUGAUUAAUAGGGACAGUCGGGGGCAUCAGUAUUCAAUUGUCAGAGGUGAAAUUCUUGGAUUUAUUGAAGACUAACUACUGCGAAAGCAUUUGCCAAGGAUGUUUUCAUUAAUCAAGAACGAAAGUUAGGGGAUCGAAGACGAUCAGAUACCGUCGUAGUCUUAACCAUAAACUAUGCCGACUAGGGAUCGGGCGGUGUUCUUUUUUUGGCCCGCUCGGCACCUUACGAGAAAUCAAAGU